This 253-nucleotide ribosomal RNA is filed under the name uncultured bacterium. RNAcentral's name for it is "partial 16S ribosomal RNA". It matches the Rfam family "Bacterial small subunit ribosomal RNA", at positions 524 to 776 of the family's 1533-position model. The record is from RNAcentral.
UACAGAGGUCUCAAGCGUUGUUCGGAAUUACUGGGCGUAAAGGGUGCGCAGGCCGCGCGGGCAGUCAAAUGUGUAAUUCAGGGGCUCAACCCCUGCACUGCGCUUGAUACUUCCGCGCUCGAACCUUGGAGAGGAGUCUGGAAUUCUCGGUGUAGCAGUGAAAUGCGUGGAUAUCGAGAAGAACACUUAGGGCGAAAGCAAGACUCUGGACAAGUGUUGACGCUCAUGCACGAAGGCUAGGGUAGCGAACGGG